RNAcentral lists this ribosomal RNA (376 nucleotides) under uncultured bacterium. Its description in RNAcentral is "bacterial SSU rRNA". It matches the Rfam family "Bacterial small subunit ribosomal RNA", at positions 524 to 898 of the family's 1533-position model. The record is from RNAcentral.
UACGGAGGGUGCGAGCGUUGUCCGGAAUCACUGGGCGUAAAGGGCGCGUAGGCGGCCCGGUAAGUAGGGGGUGAAAUCCUGCGGCUCAACCGCAGAACCGCCUUCUAGACUGCCAGGCUCGAGCACAGUAGAGGCAGACGGAAUUCCCGGUGUAGCGGUGGAAUGCGUAGAGAUCGGGAAGAACACCGGUGGCGAAGGCGGUCUGCUGGGCUGUUGCUGACGCUGAGGCGCGACAGCGUGGGGGGCAAACAGGAUUAGAUACCCUGGUAGUCCACGCCGUAAACGAUGGGUACUAGGCGUCGGGGGGAGCGACCCUCCCGGUGCCGUCGCUAACGCACUAAGUACCCCGCCUGGGGAGUACGGCCGCAAGGCUGAA